Molecule: ribosomal RNA, 559 nt
Filed under: uncultured bacterium
Lineage: Bacteria
Description: partial 16S ribosomal RNA
Rfam family: Bacterial small subunit ribosomal RNA
Source: RNAcentral
UGGGGAAUAUUGGACAAUGGGCGCAAGCCUGAUCCAGCAAUGCCGCGUGAGUGAUGAAGGCCUUAGGGUUGUAAAGCUCUUUCGCACGCGACGAUGAUGACGGUAGCGUGAGAAGAAGCCCCGGCUAACUUCGUGCCAGCAGCCGCGGUAAUACGAAGGGGGCUAGCGUUGUUCGGAAUUACUGGGCGUAAAGGGCGCGUAGGCGGCCUGUUUAGUCAGAAGUGAAAGCCCCGGGCUCAACCUGGGAAUAGCUUUUGAUACUGGCAGGCUUGAGUUCCGGAGAGGAUGGUGGAAUUCCCAGUGUAGAGGUGAAAUUCGUAGAUAUUGGGAAGAACACCGGUGGCGAAGGCGGCCAUCUGGACGGACACUGACGCUGAGGCGCGAAAGCGUGGGGAGCAAACAGAUUAGAUACCCUGGUAGUCCACGCCGUAAACGAUGAAUGCUAGACGUCGGGGUGCAUGCACUUCGGUGUCGCCGCUAACGCAUUAAGCAUUCCGCCUGGGGAGUACGGCCGCAAGGUUAAAACUUAAAGGAAUUGACGGGGUCAUAGCUGUUUCCU